RNAcentral lists this unclassified non-coding RNA (1083 nucleotides) under Hevea brasiliensis (rubber tree). Lineage: Eukaryota; Viridiplantae; Streptophyta; Magnoliopsida; Malpighiales; Euphorbiaceae. The record is from RNAcentral.
UGAAUUUUAAUCAUAAAUCAAAUUAACGAAAACAAAAUAUAGGUUAAUAAGAAGUAUUGGUGGCAAUUUAUUCAGAAUUUGUACUGAAACCUGACAAGAUAGAUAUAAUUAUAAUUUCAGACAUCAUUCUCGAUGGAAGAACUAUAGCCACUUUGAUCAUCAUAGUAUUUAGACCAAAGCAUUACACCACCAUACUUGGAAGAACCCUUAAUGGCAGGAAGCAUCCUGGAUGCUAGAUCAGGUACAGGAAUGAAGCCACUGCCCGCUGCCUCAGGAGAAGCAGGCAAACCUAAGAAAAUCUUGGUGGCUGGAAUAUCAGAAUUCCAUUGUUUCCAAGCAUCUUCAAGACUGCUAAUAUUACUGCGUGCAAAUUGGCAAGGUGGGUUGUUGCAGAGUUGGACCCAAACGUUGUCAAAAAGGCCUGUUUUCAGGGCAUUUCCCACUGAUGCAUCAGGUAAAGGGCAUUGUGGAGCUGCUGUGAGGUAUACCUUAUUGCCUUUCUUGCUAUAUCCUGAGAGCCACCUUGCAAGGUCAUCCCGAUACAGGCCUGAAACUCCUUCGAUGUCAAAGUCGAUUCCAUCCAAAAUAGCAGAUCCUAAAGGACGAGACGAAGAUUGAGAUUGUCCUCCCAAGAAGUUAAUUCUAUAAGUAAGCUGCGACUUACCUGGCAUCCUCUGAAGAGGCAAGAGAGUAGCUACAAGCACAACCUUCAAUGGAAAGCAUUACUUCGAUGCCUUUGGAUUGACAUUGUUUUAUGUCGGCGCUUAGGCCAGUGCAGCCAUUACUGUAAGGAUCGCAAUGGCCUGCAAGAUUUAUCAUUGGAGUUCUACCACUGCCAAAAGUGGAUAGAAAAGCUAUGUUGACAAAAUCAUACUUUCCGGAGGCACAGGUUUUCUGCUAGUGUUCCCUCAUUUCCAUUCUGACGCCAGUAAAUGGCAAUGCUACCAGCAUUUUAACUGCUUGCUAGCAUUAGUAUUACUAGGAUGAGGAAUGGCAUUGAAACUGCUAUUUGUUGGGCCAUUUUGGAGAUGAAAGCUGCAAGUCUUGAAGAAAAUGUCUUCCUAUUCAGAUUGUGAGUUUAAG